Molecule: non-coding RNA, 112 nt
Organism: Acanthosepion pharaonis
Lineage: Eukaryota; Metazoa; Mollusca; Cephalopoda; Sepiida; Sepiidae
Source: the annotation of a GenBank genome assembly
UACGUUCACAUCACGUAGAAAGACCUAUUCUCGUACGAUCACCGAAGUUAAGCAACCCCGAGCCUGGUUAGUAACGAGAUGUGUGACAGCAUUGGAAUAUCAGGUAUUGUAA